This 305-nucleotide ribosomal RNA is filed under the name uncultured bacterium. RNAcentral's name for it is "bacterial SSU rRNA". It matches the Rfam family "Bacterial small subunit ribosomal RNA", at positions 28 to 334 of the family's 1533-position model. The record is from RNAcentral.
GAUGAACGCUAGCGGCAGGCCUAAUACAUGCAAGUCGAGCGGUAAGGCUCCUUCGGGAGUACACGAGCGGCGGACGGGUGAGUAACGCGUAUGCAACCUACCUUUUGGAGGGGGAUAGCCUCGGGAAACUGAGAUUAAUACCCCAUGGUACUAGAGUAACACAUGUUAUUCUAAUUAAAGUUCCGGCGCCAAAAGAUGGGCAUGCGUGACAUUAGCUAGUUGGUGAGGUAACGGCUCACCAAGGCAACGAUGUCUAGCUGGUCUGAGAGGAUGAUCAGCCACACUGGAACUGAGACACGGUCCAG